GGGGGGAGCAAGCGUUGUUCGGAAUCACUGGGCGUAAAGGGCGUCUAGGCGGUUCGGUAAGUGGGAUGUGAAAUGCCCGGGCUCACCCCGGGACCUGCAUCCCAAACUGCUGAGCUUGAGUACAGGAGAGGGUGGGGGAAUUCCAGGUGUAGCGGUGAAAUGCGUAGAUAUCUGGAGGAACACCGGUGGCGAAGGCGCCCACCUGGCCUGUUACUGACGCUGAGGAGCGAAAGCGUGGGUAGCAAACAGGAUUAGAUACCCUGGUAGUCCACGCCGUAAACGGUGGGCACUAGGUGUGGGAUUCACUCAACGGAUUCCGUGCCGCAGCUAACGCAUUAGGUGCCCCGCCUGGGGAGUACGGCCGCAAGGCUA
Molecule: ribosomal RNA, 372 nt
Filed under: uncultured bacterium
Lineage: Bacteria
Description: bacterial SSU rRNA
Rfam family: Bacterial small subunit ribosomal RNA
Source: RNAcentral